UCUAGGGACACCGGCGAUACACGUCGGUAGGCGCCCGCCUCGUUGAUGGCCCUGCCGGAUCGGCCCCAGCUCGUGUGGCUGGGAUGCGGGUUCGGCCUUCAGGGCCGUCCGAACAAGUGAGCUCGCCUAGAACAACGUCGACCUGACGAUCGUGCCACGCUGUUGAGCUUUGAGGGACCGUGUGUCUCUCGAGGCGUCCUCUUGCUGGGUCGGCGGCGCAUCCGUUACCGCGGCUUGCCGCCGGCCCCGUGAGGAUCCUGUUCGCCCAGCUCGCAACGUCGGCGCUCCUAACGCCGGCGGCGAGCUGGCGCGACACCCGCCUCGAGAUCGGCCUUCAAGCGACUGGCGGGACCUUGGCGCUGCCGCGUGUGUGACGGCGCUCUGGUCCUGCCGGAUGUCUGCGGGAUUCGCCCGCGCGCACCUUGACAACUCCAUAGCAAGCAACAACGUGUUCUUUCCGAUGUAGAUCGGCAGACCUUCGGGUCUGCAAGAUCAAGAGAAGAAGGGCACACGGUGGAUGCCUUGGCGUCGAGAGCCGAUGAAGGACGUGGGCGGCUGCGAAAAGCCUCGGGGAGCUGCUGACCAAGCUUUGAUCCGAGGAUGUCCGAAUGGGGAAACCCGG
Molecule: unclassified non-coding RNA, 622 nt
Filed under: uncultured Actinomycetes bacterium
Lineage: Bacteria; Bacillati; Actinomycetota; Actinomycetes
Description: uncultured actinobacterium partial contains 16S ribosomal RNA, 16S-23S ribosomal RNA intergenic spacer, and 23S ribosomal RNA
Rfam family: Bacterial large subunit ribosomal RNA (bases 491-622)
Source: RNAcentral